Malus domestica (apple) is the source of this 87-nucleotide small nucleolar RNA. RefSeq annotates it as small nucleolar RNA R44/J54/Z268 family. Lineage: Eukaryota; Viridiplantae; Streptophyta; Magnoliopsida; Rosales; Rosaceae. The record is from RefSeq and is a predicted model, not a curated record.
GUUGCAAAUGAUGAUAAAACAGACAGGGACAUCUGCACUCCAUUGGAGAUUGAUGACUAGUCUAAAUGGGAAUCUCUCUGAUGCAUU